UUAUUAUAAAAUCAUGACAGAAUCAAUGUGAAUACAGCUGAAGAAUUGACACAUUCCCUUUUUAUCAAAGUGGUUCCAAGUAUUCAUUUCUGUGAUGAGGCACAUAACUGCCGUUUAUUAUUAUAUAAUUGAAUUACUGUGCAUCUAGAAGCAUUUGUUCCUUUUCAAAACACAAUUCCUGACAGUGAACAGAUCCCUUUGAGUACAUAGACUGCUAUUUAAGGCAAUUACUUUGGGGCAAAUCCUAACUUCCACGUAGUUAUGCAUUGAUGUCAAUGGGAGACAAACACAUUUUUUUACUUAAGAGCAAGUUAGGAUUCACCCCAUAGUGGAUGAACCACACAAUUGCCUUGUGUACCAUCGAACACUGAAUACAUACAAUCAACAAGUGCAAGAAGCUGAAAUCAAUGUGAUGGUGAAUGAAAAAUCUUGAUCGUAUUUCUCCCAUCUACAAAUAUCUAAUCACACAAUGGCCUUUAUACUUAAAAUUCAUCUGUCAGUGUACAGCAGCAUGUCUUAUCACAGCAUGAUCAAACACCCAAAGCAGACGCCAUACAAAACUCCUAGGCUAGGACAACAAAACACUAGCCCUGGUCGCAGAUCAGUUGGUGCUGUACAGACAGCCAACUCCUAUGGUUGACAAAAUGGCAUAAACAUAUCUGGGAUCAAGCUAACGAAACGCUUCAAAUCAAAUGUUAUUGGUCACAUACACAUGGUUAGCAGAUGUUAAUGCGAGUGUAGCGAAAUGCUUGUGCUUCUAGUUCCGACCGUGCAGUAAUAUCUAACAAGUAAUCUAACAAUUUCACAACUCCCUUAUACAGACAAGUGUAAAGGAAUUAAUAAGAAUAUGUACAUAUGGAUGAUGAUGGCCUUGCGGCAUAGGCGAGAUGCAGUAGGUGGUAUCGAGUACAGUAUAUACAUGAGAUGAGUAAUGUAGGGUAUGUAAACAUUAUAUAAAGUGGCAUUGUAAUAAAGUGACUAGUGAUACAUUUAUUACAUCCAAUUUGUUAUUAUUAAAGUGGCUAGAGAUUUGAGUCAGUAUGUUGGCAGCAGCCAGUCAAUGUUAGUGACGGCUGUUUAACAGUCUGAUGGCCUUGAGCUAGAAGCUGUUUUUCAGUCUCUCGGUCCCAGCUUUGAUGCACCUGUACUGACCUCGCCUUCUGGAUGAUAGCGGGGUGAACAGGCAGUGGCUUGGGUGGUUGUUGUCCUUGAUGAUCUUUUUGGCAUUCCUGUGACAUGGUGUAGGUGUCCUGGAGGGCAGGUAGUUUGCCCACGGUGAUGCGUUGUGCAGACUUCACUACCCUCUGGAGUAGAGGUCGACCGAUUAUGAUUUUUCAACGCCGAUACCGAUUAUUGGAGGACCAAAAAAAGCCGCUACCGAUUAAUCGGCUGAUUUUUUAAAAUGUAUUUGUAAUAAUGACAAUUACAACAAUACUGAAUGAACACUUAUUUUAACUGAAUAUAAUACAUCAAUAAAAUCAAUUUAGCCUCAAAUAAAUAAUGAAACAUGUUCAAUUUGGUUUAAAUAAUGCAAAAACAAAGUGUUGGAGAAGGAAGUAAAAGUGCAUUAUGUGCCAUGUAAGAAAGCUAACGUUUAAGUUCCUUGCUCAGAACAUGAGAACAUAUGAAAGCUGGUGGUUCCUUUUAACAUGAGUCUUCAAUAUUCCCAGGUAAGAAGUUUUAGGUUGUAGUUAUUUUCGGAAUUAUAGGACUAUUUCUCUCUAUACGAUUUGUAUUUCAUAUACCUUUGACUAUUGGAUGUUCUUAUAGGCACUUUAGUAUUGCCAGUGUAAUAGUAUAGCUUCCGUCACUCUCCUCGCUCCUACCUGGGUUCAAAUCAGGAACACAUCGACAACAGCCACCCUCGAAGCAGCGUUAUCCAUGCAGAGCAAGGGGAACAAUUACUCCAAGUCUCAGAGCGAGUGACGUUUGAAACGCUAUUAGCACGCACCCGGCUAACUAGCUAGCCACUUCAUAUCAGUUACACCAGUCUAAUCUUGGGAGUUGAUAGGCUUGAAGUCAUAAACAGUGCAAUGCAUUGCGAAGAGCUGCUGGCAAAACGCACUAAAGUGCUGUUUGAUUGAAUGCUUACGAGCCUGCUGGUGCCUACCAUCGCUCAGUCAGACUGCUCUAUCAAAUCAUAGACUUAAUUAUAACAUAAUAACACACAGAAACACGAGCCUUAGGUCAUUAAUAUGGUAGAAUCCAGAAACUAUCACAUUUAUUAUUUCAGUGAAAUACGGAACCGUUCCGUAUUUUAUCUAACGGGUGGCAUCCAUAAGUCUAAAUAUUCCUGUUACAUUGCAAAACCUUCAAUGUUAUGUCAUAAUUACGUAAAAUUCUGGCAAAUUAGUUCGCAACGAGCCAGGCGGCCCAAACUGCUGCAUAUACCCUGACUCUGUUGCAGAGGUGACACAUUUUCCCUAGUUAAAGAAAUUAAUGUUAGCAGGCAAUAUUAACUAAAUAUACAGGUUUAAAAAUAUAUACUUGUGUAUUGAUUUUAAGAAAGACAUUGAUGUUUAUGGUUAGGUACAAGUUGGAGCAACGACAGUCCUUUUACGCGAAUGCGCACCGCAUCGAUUAUAUGCAAUGCAGGACAGGCUAGAUAAACUAGUAAUAUCCUCAACCAUGUGUAGUUAACUAGUGAUUAUGAUUGAUUGAUUGUUUUUUAUAAGAUAAGUUUAAUGCUAGCUAGCAACUUACCUUGGCUUCUUACUGCAUUCGCGUGACAGGCAGGCUCCUCAUGGAGUGCAAUAUAAAGCAGAUGGUUAGAGCGUUGGACUAGUUAACCGUAAGGUUGCAAGAUUGAAUCCCCAAGCUGACAAGGUAAAAAUCUGUCGUUCUGCCCCUGAACAAGGCAGUUAACCCACCGUUCCUAGGCCGUCAUUGAAAAUAAGAAUGUGUUCUUAACUGACUUGCCUAGUUAAAAAAUAUUUAUUAAAAAAAUUAUAAUAAUAAAUAAAAACAUUUAAUUACAAAUCGGCAAAUAGGUGGCCAAAAAUUCCGAUUACCGAUUGUUAUGAAAACUUCAAAUCGGCCAUAAUUAAAAUCGGCAAUUCCGAUUAAUCGGUCGACCUCUACUCUGGAGAGCCUUACGGUUGUGGGCGGAGCAGUUGCCGUACCAGGCGGUGAUACAGCCUGACAGGAUGUUCUCAUUUGUGCAUCUGUAAAAGUUUGCGAGUGUUUUCGGUGACAAGCCAAAUUUCUUCAGCCUCCUGAGGUUGAAGAGCCGCUGUUGCGCCUUCUUCACCACGCUGUCUGUGUGGGUGGACCAUUUCAGUUUAUCCGUGAUGUGUACGCCGACGAACUUAAAACUUUCCACCUUCUUCACUACUGUCCCAUCGAUGUGGAAUGGGGGGUGGGGGGGGGCUCCCUCUGCUGUUUCCUGAAGUCCACGAUCAUCUUUUGUUGACGUUGAGUGUGAGGUUAUUUUCCUGACACCACACUCCGAGGGCCCUCACCUCCUCCCUGUAGGCCGUCUCGUCGUUGUUGGUGGUAAUCAAGCCCACCACUGUAGUGUCAUCUGAAAACUUGAUGAUUGAGUUGGGAGGCGUGCAUGGCCACGCAGUCAUGGGUGAACAGGGAGUACAGGAGAGGGCUGAGAACGCUCCCUUGUGGGGCCCCAGUGUUGAGGAUCAGCGGGGUGGAGAUGUUGUUUCCUACCCUCACCACCUGGGGCGGCCUGUCAGAAAGGCCAGGACUCAGUUGCACAGGGCGGGGUCGAGACCCAGGGUCUCAAGCUUAAUGACAAGUUUGGAGGGUACUAUGGUGUUAAAUGCUGAGCUGUAAUCGAUGAACAGCAUUCUUACAUAGGUAUUCCUCUUGUCCAGAUGGGUUAGGGCAGUGUGCAGUGUGAUUGCGUCGUCUGUGGCUCUAUUGGGGCGGUAAGCAAAUUGGAGUGGGUCUAGGGUGUCCAGUAGGGUGGAGGUGAUAUGAUCCUUGACUAGUCUCUCAAAGCACUUCAUGAUGACGGAAGUGAGUGCUACGGGGCGAUAGUCAUUUAGCUCAGUUACCUUAGCUUUCUUGGGAACAGGAACAAUGGUUUCCCUCUUGAAGCAUGUGGGAACAGCAGACUGGGAUAGGGAUUGAUUGAAUAUGUCCGUAAACACGCCAGCCAGUUGGUCUGCACAUACUCUGAGGACACGGCUAGGGAUGCCUUGUGAGGGUUAACACGUUUAAAUAUUUUACUCAGGUUGGCUGCGGUGAAGGACAGCCGCAAGUUUUGUUAGUGGGCCAUGUCAGUGGCACUGUAUUGUCCUUAAAGCGAGCAAAGAAGUUGUUUAGUUUGUCUGGGAGCAAGACGUCGGUGUCUGCAACGGGGCUGGUUUUCUUUUUGUAAUCCGUGAUUGACUGUAGACCCUGCCACAUAUGUCUCGUGUCUGAGCCGUUGAAUUGCGACUCUGCUUUGUCUCUAUACUGAUGCUUAGCCUGUUUGAUUGCCUUGAGGAAGGAAUAGCUACACUGUUUGAAUUCGAUCAUGUUUCCGGUCGCCUUGCCAUGAUUAAAAGCAGUGGUUCGCACUUUCACUUUUGCGCAAAUGCUGCCAUCAAUCCACAGUUUCUGGUUGGGGAAGGUUUUAAUAGUCACCAUGGGUACAACAUCACCGAUGCACUUGCUAAUAAACUCGCUCACCGAAUCAGUGUAUACAUCAAUGUUGUUGUCUGAGGUUAUCCGGAACAUAUCCCAGUCCACGUGAUCCAAGCAAUCUUGAAGCGUGGAAUCAGAUUGGUCGGACUAGCGUUGAACAGACCUGAGCACGGGCGUUUCCUGUUUUAGUUUCUGUCUAUAGGCUGGGAGUAACAAAAUGGAGUCGUGGUCAGAUUUGCCGAAAGGAGGGCGAGAGAGGGCUUUGUAUGCAUUGUGGAAGUUAGAGUAGCAGUGAUCCAGAAUGCUGCCAGCCCGGGUCGUGCAUUCAAUAUGCUGAUAAAAUUUAGGGAGCCUUGUUUUCAGAUUAGCUUUGUUAAAAUCCCCAGCUACAAUAAAUGCAGCCUCAGGAUAUGUUGUUUCCAGUUUACAUAGAGUCCAAUGAAGUUCUUUCAGGGCCGAGGUGUCUGCUUGGGGGGGGAGUAUACACGGCUGUGAUUAUAAUCGAAGAGAAUUCUCUUGGUAGAAAAUGCGGUCGGCAUUUGAUCGUAAGGAAUUCUAGGUCAGGUGAACAAAAUGACUUGAGUUCCUGUAUGUUGUUAUGAUCACACCACAACUCGUUAAUCAUAAGGCAUACACCCCCGCCCUUCUUCUUACCAGAGAGAUGAUUGUUUCUGUCGGCGCGAUGCGUGAAGAAACCGGGUGGUUGUACCGACUCUGAUAACGUAUACCGAGUGAGCCAUGUUUCCGUGAAACAGAGAAUGUAACAAUCUCUGAUGUCUCUCUGGAAGGCAACCCUUGCUUGAAUUUUGUUUACCUUAUUGUCAAGAGACUGGACAUUGGCGAGUAGUAUACUCGGGAGCGGUGAGCGACGUGCCCGUCUAUGGAGCCUGACCAGAAGACCGCUCCGUCGUUGUUUUGGGUCGCCUACUGGGAUCCGAUCCAUUGUCCUGGGUGGUGGUCCAAGCAGAGGAUCCACUUCGGGAAAGUCGUAUUCCUGGUCGUAAUGUUGGUAAGUUGACGUUGCUCUUAUAUCCAAUAGUUGCCCCCGGCUGUAUGUAAUUAGACUUAAGAUUUCCUGGGGUAAUACUGCAUAGUUUCCUAAGAACGCGAAGCGAGGCGUCCUUCUCUGUCAGCACCAAACACAGGAGAAGAGAUCUCCUCUGAUGCCCAUAAUCCUUCAAUUCAAAGUCCCAUUAACCAGCUCUGCAAUUGUUAUAAUGUCAAAAUACAUUUGGUACUCACAAAAAUAUGUAGUUUCACAGAGCAACUACAGUCAAUACUGCCAUUACGCAGGGUAUGUACUUCCAAAAAAAGGUCUAAAUAAAAUGAUCUAUUGUUUCUGACCAGGUGCGCUUGAGCCAAAUCAACAUUCGGUAUCGCCAAUAAAAUCACUCAUUAUUAUUGCUACACACAGGUAGGCUGAUCCAGCAGCAGUACAGUAUCCCGAAAGAUCAUUGAUUUUAUUUAGCCAUUUCUUGGAAGUACACACCAUGCGUAACGGCAGUAAUGAUGAUAGUUGCUCUGUGAAACUCCAUGUUUUGGUGAUGUUUGCAAUUUUAUUUGUGCAUUUUUUGGAGCCUAAAUUAGCCAUAGCUCUUUGAGUGAGUAAGAUUGAGCGUCAUAAUGGUGAACACUUGAACAGGAUAUUUUAACAUUUUGAAAUAUUGUAAAUUUUAUAUACAACUAAUGUUGCCUAACAGGGAGGACAUUUAUGAGUGGGACAUAAAAAAAUAAAAAAAUGAUUUCACCUUUAUUUAACUAGGCAAGUCAGUUAAGAACAAAUUAUUAUUUAAAAUGACGGCCUACCCCAGCCAAACCCUAACCCGGACAAUGCUGGGCCAAUUGUGCUCCAACCUAUGGGACUCCCCAUACAGCCUGGAAUCGAACCAGGGUCUGUAGUGACACCUCUAGCACUGAGAUGCUGUGCCUUAGACCACUGCGCCACUCUGGAGCCCCUAAAAAGAGUGGAGAUGCCGGGGAUUGAACCCAGAUAAAACAUAAAACAUGGAAAAAUAGAUACAACUGAGUGUUAAUAUGUUUUCCCACCAAAGAAAUUGCGAAGCUUAUUGAAUGCCAUUGUAGGAAAGGGUUGUUUUCUUUAAAUUGAGAAUUACAACAAACUGACGUUAACAGGGUGAAAAGUGUUAUCAGGGACACACCGAAAAUCUUAAAUAAAAUAAUCAUGAAUAAAGCGUUAUUAACAAGAGAAAAUAUAAAUAGGACUAGAAAAUAAUGAAGAUUUAAAAUGUUAUUAUAAUGGCUUAUAUUUCUUGUGGAAGUUGAUGAAUAACAUCAGGGGCCAUGGAAAAAAUGCCUACAUCCACUGAAAAUGUGUUCAAAACGCAUAAAACAUCCUUUCAAGAUGCAUAUUUUUGUGUUUUUAAGGUAAAGGACUCCUAACCUUAUAUUGACCUUAUAUUUAAAGCCUUUUGGAAUCAACAUUUUACACUAAAUAAGAAGUGAUAUUUCCUGGGGAUAGAAAAGGCUCAGCAUUGUAGGAAUGACCCCAGCUAACGUUAGCAACUCACCAGUAGUGAGGUGGUUUGUUGUCAGCCACAUUGAAGUAUCCUGAGUACUGUUUGAAGUUAGGCUGCUUUUGAAGCCCAGGGAGGAACUUUAUUGUAUCUGCUUCAGGUUCCCCAAUAGUCCUCGACGCUCCCAGCAGCAGGGACAACACCAAAUGUAACACUUGGGGGUAAAAUUGCAUGCAAUGUUAAUAAUUUGUUAGUUAACGUCAUUACAGUCGGAAGUCCCAAACACAACUGUGAUUGCGACAACAGGCUAGCCAACGGUUAACAAGCUAUCUACCAGUAAAGUAGGCGGGUAUUUGAGUACACUAAAUGAUUAAUGAGCUGGACAAAACUAUUAUAAUCAACACUGGCACUUACCCUUUUCGUUCAAUUAAUCCUUAAUUAGUUAUAAAACAGCCACAGUAUUACGGACAUUUUUACUUUUGGAGCUCGUGAUGGGUUGUCACUAGUUACGACAGCCACAAAGUAAAACUAGGCUAUAUGAAAGAAAACCAAAAUGUGUUUGUUGGUCUUAAUUUAGGGUUAUGCCUAAGGUUAGCAGUGUGGUUAAGGAUAGGAUUAAAAUACGAUUUUAAGUAGAAAAAGUGUACAAAUAGGUGGGGUUUAGAUAUAAUUAUGACUUUGUGGAUGUGGUAACUAGUAACGACUUCGCGAUGAGCUGGUCCCAUGACUGCACAAUACUACUAGCGCGUAUCAAAUUGCGCAGACCGUUAAGUUCCGCACCUCAAAGUGGGAUGGUUGUUGGUUUGUUGUUUACUGUUUGUUUCUGGUGAGCCAAAUUUGUAUUUAUCGCAUCUUGGUGGAUAAUUUAGCCAUUUGAUGAUGACAAUACAAAAAGUAAACAAACAUAGGAGGUUGUUCUGCUUUGGAGAUGCUCAGCCUCAGUCGCAACGAAAACUGAGUUUUCUCCGUGAUCCAGAAAGAUCAGAACUUCUACUUUGAAGGCGCAACUUGGAACGUUAACUAGCAAUGUUGCUAAGAGGAGCUCAGAGUAUUUGAGGGUCAAGAGGGAAUGAAUCGUAAGAGCCGACUCACAUGCAGCAGUGCAUCCCACUGCGACGGCUGCCAACCUUGGCGCAAUACUUGACCUUGUCAUCAUAAUUCCAUGGUCACAUAGUUCCAUGCGGGCAAUAGACCAGGGCUCUCGAACACAUUUUCUCGUGAUGCCUACAGAUCAUGAAAAGGUGUGUUACGUUCCCCAGUUUCUGUGUUGUGGUUUUGUUUGUAUGUGUGUGUUUCAGGAAAUGGCUUCCUGGAUUCCCCCAAGCAGCUGAUUGGUCAGCCCCAAUGUUAAUUGGAGCUGACCCCGCCCUCUCAUCAGAGGAUACAGCUGUAUCCCAUUACAGACUCCUUCUCCAGCUAGAAAAAACAGUGUUCCUUUGCUGAGAGAAAGCUGAUGGUUAUGAUCUGUGUUUGUUGCGCAGACAGAGCGCUUAUUAGUAUGUCCUGUGUUGGUUGUUGCUGAGAGGGAGCUGAUGGUUAUGUCCUGUGUUGGUUGUUGCUCAGAGACAGGUUUUUGUUAAGUAUUUUGUAGCCGCUGCUUCUAAGGUAUGUGUGUCCCCAUAGGAGGCAGUGUUUUUGAUUAUUGAAAUGGUUUACUUAUGUUUGUAUUCUUUUUCAUUUGUUCCCAGGGGGGAAGGGGAAGGCACCGAGGGAAUGCUUAGGCAAGAGGCCUGUGGGCAUACAUAACCGUAGUAUUUACUGUCUGUGCACACUAGGUAAGACCUAGGUGGACCACCCCCUGUAUUUUGGUUAGCGCACCAGGUGUUGCUGAAAUAUUAGGUAAGUAGUGGGUAGGCAGGUAAGUUAAGAGAGGGGGCUCUAACUUUUACUUUCUUUGCUUUGGUUCCGUCCAGCCCCUUUU
RNAcentral lists this long non-coding RNA (8982 nucleotides) under Salmo salar (Atlantic salmon). Its description in RNAcentral is "lncRNA (ENSSSAG00000108072.1)". Lineage: Eukaryota; Metazoa; Chordata; Actinopteri; Salmoniformes; Salmonidae. The record is from RNAcentral.